UGCCAGCCUCCUCGGUAAUACGGAGGGAGCGAGCGUUAAUCGGAAUUACUGGGCGUAAAGCGCGCGUAGGCGGUUUUGUAAGUCGGAUGUGAAAGCCCCGGGCUCAACCUGGGAAUGGCAUUCGAUACUGCAUAACUAGAGUAUGGUAGAGGGAAGUGGAAUUUCCGGUGUAGCGGUGAAAUGCGUAGAUAUCGGAAGGAACACCGGUGGCGAAGGCGACUAUCUGGGCCAUAACUGACGCUGAUGUGCGAAAGCUAGGGGAGCAAACGGGAUUAGAUA
This 279-nucleotide ribosomal RNA is filed under the name uncultured bacterium. RNAcentral describes it as "partial 16S ribosomal RNA". It matches the Rfam family "Bacterial small subunit ribosomal RNA", at positions 506 to 784 of the family's 1533-position model. The record is from RNAcentral.